This is a long non-coding RNA of Oncorhynchus tshawytscha (Chinook salmon), 1634 nucleotides long. RefSeq lists it as uncharacterized. Lineage: Eukaryota; Metazoa; Chordata; Actinopteri; Salmoniformes; Salmonidae. The transcript is spliced from 2 exons. The record is from RefSeq and is a predicted model, not a curated record.
ACCACCACCCAACAACCACCACCACCCAACACCACCACCACCACCACCACCACCAAUAAAACCUUUACAACAAGAGCCACUAACGGAGUCGAUUCUCCAGAUUCCUAUUUUUUGUUUCUCUCUCUCGCUCUUUACUAUAAAAUCCCAAUGAAACACGUUACAGAGUGCAAGUGAAGCCCUUUAAAUGAUCCAGUGUCAUUGCGUGUGUGUGUGUGCGCGCGCGUGCGUGUAUUGCGAGUGUGUGUUGUACGGAUCUGCCUUAUCGUGCAUCUAUGCUGCCUUUCGCUGAGCUUCUAAUGUUGGACCAUAGAUAGACACAGACCAUACAGUAUCUCCAGUGUGUUGAGGAACAGACUUAUAGCUGCAGUGUUUGUGGGUGUGUGAGAGAGAGAGAGAGUUCACUGUCUCACAAGUUUAACACAACUCCAAUCAAUCAGUCACCCAAAUGUCUAAUUAAUGUGUGUAACUACUGCUCAGUGAAGCCGGAGCAACAACUCACCCUCAGCACGUCAUUUGUGUUUGUCAGGGCUUACAUACUGUAUAUGUGGAAGAAUUAAGGCCAUACAUGUGAAUAUAUUUCUUAAGAGGGCAUGCAUAUGAAUUUAUUCGUUAGAUGAAUGAACUGGUUUGGCGCCUGGGGCGUACAGGUUAAUAUAUUUGUUAGGUGAGUGGGGUAUGAGUGGGACUGCAUAUAGGUUCAUAUAUUUGUUAGGUGAGUGGGGUAUGAGUGGGACUGCAUAUAGGUUAAUAUAUUUGUUAGGUGAGUGGGGUAUGAGUGGGACUGCAUAUAGGUUAAUAUAUUCGGUAGAUGAUUUGCCCUCAGGAUGUCUGUUUGUCUGACUUUCCUGACUUUCCUAUCAUGUUGUUGUACAGAUUUUAACUCUUCAAAUGACAUUCAGGUAGGCUGGCGAUCUGAAGCCUUGCUCUAGUGCUGUAUACCUGUGAACUCUGACCCCUGAGGAACACAGAUUAACUUCCUCUUUUCCCCUGUUGUUGUUAUUGUUGUUUUCCUCCCUACCAUUCCAGAUCUGCCUUCUUCAUGUGUGUGUUGAUGAUGAUGCAGAAACUCUGAUGUAGAUACAGUCUGAUCUUAAAUUAUUACUUUUGACAGUUGUCUCUCAUAAGUUUGUUUUAUACGUUAGCGUUUUUCGUGUCGGCCAGUCAGAGCUCCGUCAUGUGCCAAUCCCCGUCUCCACGGAAACGCAGGAUUCUUACCUGUGAUGUAAUCUCAUAGGCUAUAUAUAAAUUCUGUAAAUAACAGUUUAUGAAGUGUUACUUGAUUCUAUGUAAUUAUUACGAUGAGGACUAUUUUAAUUACUUCAUGUUAUUUGCUGUGGUUGUAGUUAAAUCAUCUUAUUCUCUCAUUUCCAUUGUGUUAUUGAAGAACCCAUAAGUUGUAGGGCUACAGAUCAAACAGAAGGGGAGAAAUGAUACGUCAACAUUAAAGUGGAUUCUAAUUCUGACAACUGAAGCAAGACUGAAGUUGAGGAAGUAUUUUGUUUUUAUUGUAGAAGGUGUAGACCAGUGUUGGUCUGUGUGUCUCUAAAUGCUAUAUAGAUAGAGGGCAGGUAGACCCUUCUGGAAAAAGAACACAAAGAUUACUUUUUAAAAAAAAUAAAUUUGGUUAAAGGAGA